UGGGGAAUUUUGGACAAUGGGCGAAAGCCUGAUCCAGCAAUGCCGCGUGUGUGAAGAAGGCCUUCGGGUUGUAAAGCACUUUUGUCCGGAAAGAAAUCCUUGGCUCUAAUACAGUCGGGGGAUGACGGUACCGGAAGAAUAAGCACCGGCUAACUACGUGCCAGCAGCCGCGGUAAUACGUAGGGUGCAAGCGUUAAUCGGAAUUACUGGGCGUAAAGCGUGCGCAGGCGGUUUGCUAAGACCGAUGUGAAAUCCCCGGGCUCAACCUGGGAACUGCAUUGGUGACUGGCAGGCUAGAGUAUGGCAGAGGGGGGUAGAAUUCCACGUGUAGCAGUGAAAUGCGUAGAGAUGUGGAGGAAUACCGAUGGCGAAGGCAGCCCCCUGGGCAAGUACUGACGCUCAUGCACGAAAGCGUGGGGAGCAAACNGGAUUAAUACCCUGGUAGUCCACGCCCUAAAANGAUGUCAACUAGUUGUUGGGGAUUCAUUUCCUUAGUAACGUAGCUAACGCGUGAAGUUGACCGCCUGGGGAGUACGGUCGCAAGAUU
RNAcentral lists this ribosomal RNA (547 nucleotides) under uncultured bacterium. Its description in RNAcentral is "partial 16S ribosomal RNA". It matches the Rfam family "Bacterial small subunit ribosomal RNA", at positions 355 to 895 of the family's 1533-position model. The record is from RNAcentral.